GAAACUCGCCUACAUGAAGCUGGAGUUACUAGUAAUCGCAGAUCAGAAUGCUGCGGUGAAUGCGUUCCCGGGUCUUGUACACACCGCCCGUCACACCACGGGAGUUGGAGACGCCCGAAGCCGAUUAUCUAACCUUGUGGAAGAAGUCGUCGAAGGUGGAAUCAAUAACUGGGGUGAAGUCGUAACAAGGUAGCCGUAUCGGAAGGUGCGGCUGGAUCACCUCCUUUCUAAGGAGA
This 236-nucleotide ribosomal RNA is filed under the name Clostridioides difficile. Its description in RNAcentral is "partial 16S ribosomal RNA". It matches the Rfam family "Bacterial small subunit ribosomal RNA", at positions 1307 to 1533 of the family's 1533-position model. Lineage: Bacteria; Bacillati; Bacillota; Clostridia; Peptostreptococcales; Peptostreptococcaceae. The record is from RNAcentral.